RNAcentral lists this ribosomal RNA (47 nucleotides) under uncultured ectomycorrhiza (Ascomycota). Its description in RNAcentral is "partial 28S ribosomal RNA". The record is from RNAcentral. Lineage: Eukaryota; Fungi; Ascomycota.
UAACGACCUCGGAUCAGGUAGGGAUACCCGCUGAACUUAAGCAUAUC